UCCGAUGUUGGCUGUGCGCAAGGCACUUUCGGGUGCGCCGAUAACCGGCGGCCGGCGACUGAUCCGCGUGCAGCCGCCGCCCUG
This 84-nucleotide unclassified non-coding RNA is filed under the name Pseudomonas moraviensis. The record is from RNAcentral. Lineage: Bacteria; Pseudomonadati; Pseudomonadota; Gammaproteobacteria; Pseudomonadales; Pseudomonadaceae.